RNAcentral lists this ribosomal RNA (858 nucleotides) under Lasiodiplodia theobromae. RNAcentral's name for it is "eukaryotic LSU rRNA". The stretch from base 147 to 300 matches the Rfam family "5.8S ribosomal RNA". The record is from RNAcentral. Lineage: Eukaryota; Fungi; Ascomycota; Dothideomycetes; Botryosphaeriales; Botryosphaeriaceae.
UGGCCCCUAUAUUUUUAGAGGCUUCAGGCUCGACUCUCCCACCCUUUGUGAACGUACCUCUGUUGCUUUGGCGGCUUCGGCCGCCAAAGGACCUUCAAACUCCAGUCAGUAAACGCAGACGUCUGAUAAACAAGUUAAUAAACUAAAACUUUCAACAACGGAUCUCUUGGUUCUGGCAUCGAUGAAGAACGCAGCGAAAUGCGAUAAGUAAUGUGAAUUGCAGAAUUCAGUGAAUCAUCGAAUCUUUGAACGCACAUUGCGCCCCUUGGUAUUCCGGGGGGCAUGCCUGUUCGAGCGUCAUUACAACCCUCAAGCUCUGCUUGGAAUUGGGCACCGUCCUCACUGCGGACGCGCCUCAAAGACCUCGGCGGUGGCUGUUCAGCCCUCAAGCGUAGUAGAAUACACCUCGCUUUGGAGCGGUUGGCGUCGCCCGCCGGACGAACCUUCUGAACUUUUCUCAAGGUUGACCUCGGAUCAGGUAGGGAUACCCGCUGAACUUAAGCAUAUCAAUAAGCGGAGGAAUCAUUACCGAGUUUUCGAGCUUCGGCUCGACUCUCCAACAUUGUGAACGUACCUCUGUUGCUUUGGCGGCUUCGGCCGCCAAAGGACCUUCAAACUCAUCAUAAACCGACUCGAUAAAACAGUUUAAUAAACUAAAACUUUCAACAACGGAUCUCUGGGUUCUGGCAUCGAUGAAUAACGCGCGAAAUGCGAUAAGUAAUGUGAAUUGCAUAAUUCAGUGAAUCAUCGAAUCUUUGAACGCACAUUGCGCCCCUUGGUAUUUCCGGGGGGCAUGCCUGUUCGAGCGUCAAUACAACCCUAAGCUUUUCUUGUGAAAUUGGGGACCUUCUCUCGAAC